GAUGAACGCUGACAGAAUGCUUAACACAUGCAAGUCAACUUGAACUUCGGUUUGGGUGGCGGACGGGUGAGUAACGCGUAAAGAACUUGCCUCACAGAUAGGGACAACAUUUGGAAACGAAUGCUAAUACCUGAUAUUAUGAUUAUAUGGCAUCGUAUAAUUAUGAAAGCUAUAUGCGCUGUGAGAGAGCUUUGCGUCCCAUUAGCUAGUUGGAGAGGUAACGGCUCACCAAGGCGAUGAUGGGUAGCCGGCCUGAGAGGGUGAUCGGCCACAAGGGGACUGAGACACGGCCCUUACUCCGACGGGAGGCAGCAGUGGGGAAUAUUGGACAAUGGACCAAGAGUCUGAUCCAGCAAUUCUGUGUGCACGAUGAAGUUUUUCGGAAUGUAAAGUGCUUUCAGUUGGGAAGAAAAAAAUGACGGUACCAACAGAAGAAGUGACGGCUAAAUACGUG
RNAcentral lists this ribosomal RNA (454 nucleotides) under uncultured bacterium. RNAcentral describes it as "partial 16S ribosomal RNA". It matches the Rfam family "Bacterial small subunit ribosomal RNA", at positions 28 to 507 of the family's 1533-position model. The record is from RNAcentral.